CAGAGAAUAGUUUAAUUUAAAAUUCUAGCUUUGGGAGUUAGAGAUGGAAGUUGAAGUCUUCUUUCUUUG
This 69-nucleotide transfer RNA is filed under the name Parakneria cameronensis. RNAcentral describes it as "tRNA-Pro". It matches the Rfam family "tRNA". Rfam says of the family: Transfer RNA (tRNA) molecules are approximately 80 nucleotides in length. Their secondary structure includes four short double-helical elements and three loops (D, anti-codon, and T loops). The record is from RNAcentral. Lineage: Eukaryota; Metazoa; Chordata; Actinopteri; Gonorynchiformes; Kneriidae.